CACUCGGGAUUUCGACGAUGGGCGGAGGAGCUUGUGUUCCUCAAGAUGCGGUUGAACAGGGAGGAGCAGCGCCUCCAAUGGCUCCAUCAAUGAGUAAUGAGGGACACCAUCAUAUGGCCAUGGUUCAGCUUCAUGGUUCUUUGGUUCUGAUGGAUGAUGGUGAGUAGGAUGAACCACCGAAUCAGGGGUCUCCUUUUUAUUUUAAUUUAUUUUUUUCCAGGUUUACUAGAUGGGAUAAUGAUGGAUAUUAUAUGAGUGUUUUAGUUGAUAAAUUAAAGAGUGAACACUAUUUCUGAGUUAACUCACUGAUUUAUAAUUCCAGAUUGCUUAUACUUAAUUAUUGGUAUGAUUGUGAUUAUGCUUUAAGGAUUAACAUGAUGUUGUUUAAUUAGGUUUGCUGUUUUGUGUUUGUUCAUCACAAGGAAAGUAGGUGUUCAUGAAAUUUUAAAGUUUAUAAUUUGUACAUAUACAUAUGUUUGUACUGUUACUAGUUUAGCCCAUGGAAAGAUGUUUAUGAAUGCUUAUGAUUAUGAACAUGUAGAGUAAUGGUUUUAGUUUUAUGACAUUCAUGGAAUUGACAUUAAAACGCAUACAUGUCUAUGAAUAUGUAAUAACAUGUAUAUUUUGGGAUAUAUAUCUUGAAUGUAACCCGUGGCUAUAAAGAGAUUAGUGACUAACCUGAAUGAUGCACCUGUGAUUGUUAUGAUAAUGUAUUAAUCGCCACUGAUCCUUUAAUUCUUUGUUUGUUGUUGAUUAGAUGUUGCCUUCUAUCUCCUUUAUGGCACCUU
RNAcentral lists this long non-coding RNA (788 nucleotides) under Lupinus angustifolius (narrow-leaved blue lupine). RNAcentral's name for it is "long non-coding RNA (LANG_LNC000160)". Lineage: Eukaryota; Viridiplantae; Streptophyta; Magnoliopsida; Fabales; Fabaceae. The record is from RNAcentral.